This 371-nucleotide ribosomal RNA is filed under the name uncultured bacterium. RNAcentral's name for it is "bacterial SSU rRNA". It matches the Rfam family "Bacterial small subunit ribosomal RNA", at positions 30 to 403 of the family's 1533-position model. The record is from RNAcentral.
AUUGAACGCUGGCGGCAUGCCUUACACAUGCAAGUCGAACGGCAGCACGGGGCAACCUGGUGGCGAGUGGCGAAACGGGUGAGUAAUGCAUCGGAACGUGCCAUUGAGUGGGGGAUAACGUAGCGAAAGUUGCGCUAAUACCGCAUAUUCUGUGAGCAGGAAAGCAGGGGACCGCAAGGCCUUGCGCUCUUUGAGCGGCCGAUGUCAGAUUAGCUAGUUGGUGAGGUAACGGCUUACCAAGGCGACGAUCUGUAGCGGGUCUGAGAGGAUGAUCCGCCACACUGGAACUGAGACACGGUCCAGACUCCUACGGGAGGCAGCAGUGGGAAUUUUGGACAAUGGGCGCAAGCCUGAUCCAGCCAUGCCGCGUG